GUGAAUCAUCGAAUCUUUGAACGCAUAUUGCGCUCUUUGGUAUUCCGAAGAGCAUGCUUGUUUGAGUAUCAGUAAACACCUCAAAGCUUUUGGAUUUUUUUUGAAAGCUUUGGACUUGAGCAAUCCCAACACCAAUCUUUUUCAGAUCGGCGGCGGGUUGCUUGAAAUGCAGGUGCAGCUGGACUUUCUCCUGAGCUAAAAGCAUAUUCAUUUAGUCCCGUCAAACGGAUUAUUACUUUUGCUGCAGCUAACAUAAAGGAUAAUUGUCCUCUUUGCUGACUGAUGCAGGAUUUUACGACACUUUAUGUGUUGUUCAACUCGAUCUCAAAUCAAGUAAGACUACCCGCUGAACUUAAGCAUAUCAAUAAGCGGAGGA
This 376-nucleotide unclassified non-coding RNA is filed under the name Mortierella sp. RNAcentral describes it as "partial contains 5.8S ribosomal RNA, internal transcribed spacer 2, and large subunit ribosomal RNA". The stretch from base 1 to 71 matches the Rfam family "5.8S ribosomal RNA", at positions 84 to 154 of the family's 154-position model. The record is from RNAcentral. Lineage: Eukaryota; Fungi; Mortierellomycota; Mortierellomycetes; Mortierellales; Mortierellaceae.